Molecule: ribosomal RNA, 412 nt
Filed under: uncultured bacterium
Lineage: Bacteria
Description: bacterial SSU rRNA
Rfam family: Bacterial small subunit ribosomal RNA
Source: RNAcentral
GGGCCCGCACAAGCGGUGGAGCAUGUGGUUUAAUUCGAUGAUACGCGAGGAACCUUACCAGGGCUUAAAUGCAGAACGACAGAGGUGGAAACACCUCCUUCUUCGGACGGUCUGCAAGGUGCUGCAUGGUUGUCGUCAGCUCGUGCUGUGAAGUGUCGGGUUAAGUCCCAUAACGAGCGCAACCCCUAUUUCUAGUUGCCAGCGGUUCGGCCGGGGACUCUAGAGAAACUGCCAGCGUAAGCUGUGAGGAAGGUGGGGAUGACGUCAAAUCAUCACGGCCCUUACGUCCUGGGCUACACACGUGCUACAAUGGUAGGGACAGAGAGUUGCCAACCCGCGAGGGUGAGCUAAUCUUCAAACCCUAUCUCAGUUCGGAUCGGAGUCUGCAACUCGACUCCGUGAAGUUGGAAUC